Long non-coding RNA from Anthonomus grandis grandis, 1038 nucleotides. RefSeq lists it as uncharacterized. Lineage: Eukaryota; Metazoa; Arthropoda; Insecta; Coleoptera; Curculionidae. The transcript has 4 exons. The record is from RefSeq and is a predicted model, not a curated record.
AUCACUAUUACUUAGUAAUAAUUAAAAUGAAAAAUCUUUAUCUUAAUCUCGCGUUUUUUUAAAUCUACGUGUACACAGUCACUUUUGCAAGUUAGUAGUAAUUACCUAUCGAUAACUGUUUAAAAAGAAUACUGCAAAAACACAACCGCUCUGGAUUGGGUUGCAGAUAUGCAGCAUCCUUUGUACGGAUAAGUGAGCUUUAAUGCUUUAUUGGAAUACCGCUUCUACAGGCAGCAAUUUUUAAAUCGUAAAUUGCCGGAACCUAGAAUUUUCAUAAAACUUGAUCAAAGGCUACCGGAGACCGGCUCAAUAAUACUUGAUUGAUUAGUUGUAAGGCGGCGCCUGGUUAAGAGAUGCUUUAGAGGAUUAAUUUAUUAAGCCAAACUUAAGACAAUUGAUAGAUUGGUAAAGGUGGUUCAGUCCCUUGGCCAGCAAGAUCACCUGAUUUGACACCUCUUGACUUUAUUGUCUAAAGCACCAUAGAAUAUUGUAUAUACGCAUUCUUUUGUUUACCAGAAAGGACCUAGUUGCUAAAAUCGUGAUGGCUGUGAAAUAUCUGAGGAACGGUCAAGGCGUCUUUUCUCGUGUGCGGGUAUCAUGGAUCAAUAGGUGCAGAAAAAAAUAUGAAAAUGCCUGGAGAAUACUUUGAAAAUUUGAUAAACACCAUUAGAGAAAACUAAUUAAGUCAUCAAAAUAUCCCGGAUCGGCAUCCGUCUCGUCAUUGAUGAAAUCCCCAAGUUUAGAUAUCUAGUAAAUCUGGUUUAAUUUAGGGGUAUUCAGUGUUCGAAACUUAAUUUGAAUAUCUGCCAUGAAAUUAUACGAUAAUGAGGGAGCAUUUGAUAAAAUUAAAUUAUCCAGAGAGCAACAAAUCUUGAAGGAGUGGAAAUCACUACACAAUAUAUUAAAUUCAUGUUAAAUGGUCGCAAACUUAGUCCAGCCAUUGGUGAGACAAUCGCAUUAGUAAGUGUUUUCAAAGGAUAUGGUCAAGGUGGAGUCCUAUCACUUUUGCUAUUGUUCCUAGUUAUUGAUGUAAGAAUA